GGGUUGUGAGGUUAAGCGACUAAGCGUACACGGUGGAUGCCCUGGCAGUCAGAGGCGAUGAAGGACGUGCUAAUCUGCGAUAAGCGUCGGUAAGGUGAUAUGAACCGUUAUAACCGGCGAUUUCCGAAUGGGGAAACCCAGUGUGUUUCGACACACUAUCAUUAACUGAAUCCAUAGGUUAAUGAGGCGAACCGGGGGAACUGAAACAUCUAAGUACCCCGAGGAAAAGAAAUCAACCGAGAUUCCCCCAGUAGCGGCGAGCGAACGGGGAGCAGCCCAGAGCCUGAAUCAGUGUGUGUGUUAGUGGAAGCGUCUGGAAAGGCGCGCGAUACAGGGUGACAGCCCCGUACACAAAAAUGCACAUGCUGUGAGCUCGAUGAGUAGGGCGGGACACGUGGUAUCCUGUCUGAAUAUGGGGGGACCAUCCUCCAAGGCUAAAUACUCCUGACUGACCGAUAGUGAACCAGUACCGUGAGGGAAAGGCGAAAAGAACCCCGGCGAGGGGAGUGAAAAAGAACCUGAAACCGUGUACGUACAAGCAGUGGGAGCACGCUUAGGCGUGUGACUGCGUACCUUUUGUAUAAUGGGUCAGCGACUUAUAUUCUGUAGCAAGGUUAACCGAAUAGGGGAGCCGAAGGGAAACCGAGUCUUAACUGGGCGUUAAGUUGCAGGGUAUAGACCCGAAACCCGGUGAUCUAGCCAUGGGCAGGUUGAAGGUUGGGUAACACUAACUGGAGGACCGAACCGACUAAUGUUGAAAAAUUAGCGGAUGACUUGUGGCUGGGGGUGAAAGGCCAAUCAAACCGGGAGAUAGCUGGUUCUCCCCGAAAGCUAUUUAGGUAGCGCCUCGUGAAUUCAUCUCCGGGGGUAGAGCACUGUUUCGGCAAGGGGUCAUCCCGACUUACCAACCCGAUGCAAACUGCGAAUACCGGAGAAUGUUAUCACGGGAGACACACGGCGGGUGCUAACGUCCGUCGUGAAGAGGGAAACAACCCAGACCGCCAGCUAAGGUCCCAAAGUCAUGGUUAAGUGGGAAACGAUGUGGGAAGGCCCAGACAGCCAGGAUGUUGGCUUAGAAGCAGCCAUCAUUUAAAGAAAGCGUAAUAGCUCACUGGUCGAGUCGGCCUGCGCGGAAGAUGUAACGGGGCUAAACCAUGCACCGAAGCUGCGGCAGCGACGCUGAUGCGUUGUUGGGUAGGGGAGCGUUCUGUAAGCCUGCGAAGGUGUGCUGUGAGGCAUGCUGGAGGUAUCAGAAGUGCGAAUGCUGACAUAAGUAACGAUAAAGCGGGUGAAAAGCCCGCUCGCCGGAAGACCAAGGGUUCCUGUCCAACGUUAAUCGGGGCAGGGUGAGUCGACCCCUAAGGCGAGGCCGAAAGGCGUAGUCGAUGGGAAACAGGUUAAUAUUCCUGUACUUGGUGUUACUGCGAAGGGGGGACGGAGAAGGCUAUGUUGGCCGGGCGACGGUUGUCCCGGUUUAAGCGUGUAGGCUGGUUUUCCGGUGCAAAUCCGGAAAAUCAAGGCUGAGGCGUGAUGACGAGGCACUACGGUGCUGAAGCAACAAAUGCCCUGCUUCCAGGAAAAGCCUCUAAGCAUCAGGUAACAUCAAAUCGUACCCCAAACCGACACAGGUGGUCAGGUAGAGAAUACCAAGGCGCUUGAGAGAACUCGGGUGAAGGAACUAGGCAAAAUGGUGCCGUAACUUCGGGAGAAGGCACGCUGAUAUGUAGGUGAAGUCCCUCGCGGAUGGAGCUGAAAUCAGUCGAAGAUACCAGCUGGCUGCAACUGUUUAUUAAAAACACAGCACUGUGCAAACACGAAAGUGGACGUAUACGGUGUGACGCCUGCCCGGUGCCGGAAGGUUAAUUGAUGGGGUUAGCCGCAAGGCGAAGCUCUUGAUCGAAGCCCCGGUAAACGGCGGCCGUAACUAUAACGGUCCUAAGGUAGCGAAAUUCCUUGUCGGGUAAGUUCCGACCUGCACGAAUGGCGUAAUGAUGGCCAGGCUGUCUCCACCCGAGACUCAGUGAAAUUGAACUCGCUGUGAAGAUGCAGUGUACCCGCGGCAAGACGGAAAGACCCCGUGAACCUUUACUAUAGCUUGACACUGAACAUUGAGCCUUGAUGUGUAGGAUAGGUGGGAGGCUUGGAAGUGUGGACGCCAGUCUGCAUGGAGCCGACCUUGAAAUACCACCCUUUAAUGUUUGAUGUUCUAACGUUGACCCGUAAUCCGGGUUGCGGACAGUGUCUGGUGGGUAGUUUGACUGGGGCGGUCUCCUCCUAAAGAGUAACGGAGGAGCACGAAGGUUGGCUAAUCCUGGUCGGACAUCAGGAGGUUAGUGCAAUGGCAUAAGCCAGCUUGACUGCGAGCGUGACGGCGCGAGCAGGUGCGAAAGCAGGUCAUAGUGAUCCGGUGGUUCUGAAUGGAAGGGCCAUCGCUCAACGGAUAAAAGGUACUCCGGGGAUAACAGGCUGAUACCGCCCAAGAGUUCAUAUCGACGGCGGUGUUUGGCACCUCGAUGUCGGCUCAUCACAUCCUGGGGCUGAAGUAGGUCCCAAGGGUAUGGCUGUUCGCCAUUUAAAGUGGUACGCGAGCUGGGUUUAGAACGUCGUGAGACAGUUCGGUCCCUAUCUGCCGUGGGCGCUGGAGAACUGAGGGGGGCUGCUCCUAGUACGAGAGGACCGGAGUGGACGCAUCACUGGUGUUCGGGUUGUCAUGCCAAUGGCACUGCCCGGUAGCUAAAUGCGGAAGAGAUAAGUGCUGAAAGCAUCUAAGCACGAAACUUGCCCCGAGAUGAGUUCUCCCUGACUCCUUGAGAGUCCUGAAGGAACGUUGAAGACGACGACGUUGAUAGGCCGGGUGUGUAAGCGCAGCGAUGCGUUGAGCUAACCGGUACUAAUGAACCGUGAGGCUUAACCUUACAACGCCGAAGGUGUUU
Molecule: ribosomal RNA, 2933 nt
Filed under: Escherichia coli
Lineage: Bacteria; Pseudomonadati; Pseudomonadota; Gammaproteobacteria; Enterobacterales; Enterobacteriaceae
Description: 23S ribosomal RNA
Rfam family: Bacterial large subunit ribosomal RNA
Source: RNAcentral